Dipodomys ordii (Ord's kangaroo rat) is the source of this 149-nucleotide small nucleolar RNA. The record is from Ensembl. Lineage: Eukaryota; Metazoa; Chordata; Mammalia; Rodentia; Heteromyidae.
CUUCAAUGAAGAGGUGAUGACGAGUCUGACUUGGGAGUAUUACCUUUGGCCAGACAGCCCCACUCUGUGCUGCGUUCUGUGGCAUAGCUUAAAGGGACCUGGUGGAAGAAACUUCCUAAAGAUGACUUAGAGGCAUUUGUCUGAGAAGG